RNAcentral lists this transfer RNA (73 nucleotides) under Paramuricea clavata. It matches the Rfam family "tRNA". Rfam says of the family: Transfer RNA (tRNA) molecules are approximately 80 nucleotides in length. Their secondary structure includes four short double-helical elements and three loops (D, anti-codon, and T loops). The record is from Rfam by way of RNAcentral. Lineage: Eukaryota; Metazoa; Cnidaria; Anthozoa; Malacalcyonacea; Plexauridae.
GACCGCGUAGCUCAGUUGGAAGAGCAUUGGGCUAGUAUUCCAAAGGUCGUAGGUUCGAAUCCUGCCGUGGCCA